AAUUUGAAGCUUGGCUUCGAUGCUUCUGCACCUGCUGCUUAGGCUGUAACAAAGCACUGCCCAUCAGAACGCGUGCAAGAUAAACUGUUUUAAUUCCGCUAUAAACACUUUUUCCAAAAACUGCACCAGCCGUUUUGCCAGCCGAAUCUAAUAUUUUGCGGAGACGAUGAAAACGUGACAGAUCAACAUUCAACACAUUCUUUCGCGCGCGCUGCCUAUACUGCGAUCUCUUUAUUUUCAUAAUUUGAAAGUUGUAGUCAAAGUUCAGUCAAGGGGGUGAUCACUCUACACACUUGGUCGGCGCACUUCAUUUUUGGUUGUUCCUUGAGAGUGCCAAAGUGUGCCGGGCGUGCCAAGCUUGCUAUAAUUCCACAUGCUAUAAAAGCUCAAUGAACUGAAAUCAGAGUUUCCCAGCUCUGACUGAAAUCACAAAGAAACGAUCUCAGCAAACAUUGACAUCUUAAUUUAUUUUGAUUGUGUCUCUCGUUCUACAAAUUUUCUCUAGAACGUAAUUUUGCAAUUUUAUUUAUUUGGCUAUAAUUUGAAUCAUUUUCGGGAAUUUAUAAUCAAUCGUUCUUGUUAAACAUCUGUAUCCCAAAAAAAUGCAGGUUAUUUGAUUAAUAAAGAAAAUCAGUUUAAACUACAUGCUACAUAUUUAAAACUGCUUUGGUCCUUUCUAGCUUUUACCUGGCGUAUGUUGGUAUUAUCCAGCUUUUUACGCUAGCAUACCAUAAUUUUUGAAUCACCCCUUUUCGACAUUUCUUGCAUGCACUAUGAUUUUUAUAGCUAGAUUAAAGUAUGCACGGAGAAAACGAAGUACUCAAAAAUAAGUUUUUUUAUACUCAAAAUUAAGUUAAGACGGUCGAACUGAAUAGUUGGGUGAUUUUCGUUUUGACAAAUACGUACAUUUAACUCAACUUUUGAGUUGUCUAAUGAAAACUCAAAUUUGAGUAAAAAUAUACUUGUUUUGUUUAUUGCGCUCUUAAUCACAAAAUUUUAUUAUUUUGUACUUGUGUAUUAUACGAGUUACUAAAAAUAACAAAAAAUCCCAGAUUGUUACCUUUAUAAAUAUUACUGAAGUAUUGAGCGUUUUUAAAAUGUUUCUAAUAUUGCAAUCUAACCGAUAAAUUUGAUAAAGUAUAUAAAUCGACCAUCAAUUUGCCAAACACUUUAAAAACACAAAGUUGAGUAGAAAUAACUCAACGUUUGGCAUUUAGACAGCGUUCUUGCCGUUGAGUAGUUUAAACUCAAUUUUGGAUGAAAAAAUGUGCCAUCCAUUUUGAAAUCUCAGCACUAGUCAUUCGUAGUCUGUUUUCGUCGGUGUUAGACGGAAUGGGAGGAAAAUUACAAUUUUAUUUCUUUUUAUUCCCAUAUCUGGUCAAAUAAACUGUUUCUGACGUCGUUGUAUACAAAGCUCCGAUAGCUGGCUAGAAAAUGUUCUGAAAUUAUCAAAGGAGUUUAAUAGACUUGGGCCUACGAUUGUUUUUGGUGCCGGAUUAUCGGAAUUAAGAAGUGCCUGUUCGCGACUAAAAAGCUAUUGCGCUGUUACCUCCCGUUCUAAAUAGUGAGUGUCGUUCCUGCCAGUUGCCAUACACAAUGAAAAAACGGGAAAACCGUUCCAUUGGUUGUUGCCGUUCCAGCCACCCAUCCACCAUCAUCACCUAGCAAAUGUUUCCGGAUAAAGGUCUGAUGUUCAUAGGCAUUCCCGGUAAACGAUUUCCGGAAUGGACAAGCGGAUUACAGUGAAUGUGAUUUAAAUAUGAUGACAUAAAUUAAAAGAAAAAUGUGAUUAUGAUGUUAACGUAAAAUAAAAUAUAGGAUUGAAUUCUGUUUCUUUUCAUUA
Long non-coding RNA from Aedes aegypti (yellow fever mosquito), 1843 nucleotides. RefSeq lists it as uncharacterized. The transcript has 2 exons. Lineage: Eukaryota; Metazoa; Arthropoda; Insecta; Diptera; Culicidae. The record is from RefSeq and is a predicted model, not a curated record.